RNAcentral lists this transfer RNA (76 nucleotides) under Limisphaerales bacterium. RNAcentral describes it as "Verrucomicrobia subdivision 3 bacterium (hot springs metagenome) tRNA-Ala". It matches the Rfam family "tRNA". Rfam says of the family: Transfer RNA (tRNA) molecules are approximately 80 nucleotides in length. Their secondary structure includes four short double-helical elements and three loops (D, anti-codon, and T loops). Further hydrogen bonds mediate the characteristic L-shaped molecular structure. tRNAs have two regions of fundamental functional importance: the anti-codon, which is responsible for specific mRNA codon recognition, and the 3' end, to which the tRNAs corresponding amino acid is attached (by aminoacyl-tRNA synthetases). tRNAs cope with the degeneracy of the genetic code in two manners: having more than one tRNA (with a specific anti-codon) for a particular amino acid; and 'wobble' base-pairing, i.e. permitting non-standard base-pairing at the 3rd anti-codon position. Lineage: Bacteria; Pseudomonadati; Verrucomicrobiota; Verrucomicrobiia; Limisphaerales. The record is from RNAcentral.
GGGGUCGUAGCUCAGUUGGUAGAGCGUCUCGUUCGCAACGAGAAGGUGGCGGGUUCGAACCCCGUCGACUCCACCA